GCCUGCAUGAAGUUGGAAUCGCUAGUAAUCGCGGAUCAGCAUGCCGCGGUGAGUACGUUCCCGGGCCUUGUACACACCGCCCGUCAAACCAUGAGAGUUGGCAACACCCGAAGUCGGUAGUCUAACCGCAAGGAGGACGCCGCCGAAGGUGGGUUGAUGAUUAGGGUUAAGUCGUAACAAGGUACC
Molecule: ribosomal RNA, 186 nt
Filed under: uncultured bacterium
Lineage: Bacteria
Description: partial 16S ribosomal RNA
Rfam family: Bacterial small subunit ribosomal RNA
Source: RNAcentral